This is a non-coding RNA of Arabidopsis thaliana (thale cress), 876 nucleotides long. NCBI's taxonomy places the organism in Eukaryota, Viridiplantae, Streptophyta, Magnoliopsida, Brassicales, Brassicaceae. The record is from RefSeq.
ACUUGUUUACGUAUAAAUCGGUAUUUGUCGUUAGUUCACGUUGAAAAACACACUUUUUACCAGACCAAGGGCUUCUCUCUCUUAACACACCUCUAUCCUUUAGAGAGAGAGGGAGAUUUCCGGUUCACCGGAAUUAUCGCCGCCGCUUUUGUUCUGUAAUAUAGAAGUUUUCCGACUGCAGUCAGAUUGUUGUUUUUCCGCUUCGUCGGACCAAUCUCCGGUUAAUCCGGAUCUAAUAAGAUCCAAUUUGGUUACUUAAGAUUGGAUCAAGUUUUUUUUGUUUCCUCUUUCUACAAGGCUUUCAAUCCAUUAUCCUCUUGCGAUCUCUGGAUCUCUUCCUCCUACCGUCGGCUUGCCUCCUCUCUUUGAUCGGAGUAACAUCUUCGCCGCUUCAUAUGACUCUGUUGUAGUCGAGGACUUUCUUUUGGUCUCAGGCGGAGCUUCCAAUUUAGGAGAUUGGGUUAAGGGAUAAAGAUUUCUUCAAGUCUUCUUUGAGCUUCUUUCAGACGGAACCGGUGAUUGUUCAUCAGAUCUGCAAGACGAAAACUGUAGAAGGAGUACGGUGGUGGUUGCUUGAAGCCAACGGAGGUGCUGAGUCAACUCGCAGAUUUGCCCGGCGCCGACUGCUUCUCCUUCUCCUUCUUAUGUGUUAACACGUGGUGUUACACGUGGUGUUACACGUGGUGGCUCCUUAUUUUCUUAAUCUUUUACUUUAUUUAGUUUAAGAUUAAGCAGUUGUUAACCUAAUCAAGGAUGUAUAUGUUGGAGAAUGGGCUUAUGUAAUUUUCACUUCUUUGUACUGCCCAUUGGGCUUCCGUUUUAAUGGAAUUUGGCCGACUAAAAACAAAAAAAGCCUUCUACUUUACAGAUGAGAAG